GAUUAACGCUGGCGGCGUGCAUAACACAUGCAAGUCGAACGAUGAAACUUAAAUGAUUUCUUCGGAAUGAACUUAAGUGGAUUAGUGGCGGACGGGUGAGUAACGCGUGAGUAACCUGCCUUACACAAGGGGAUAGCCGUUGGAAACGACGAAUAAUACCCUAUGAAACUAUCACUUCGCAUGAAGCGAUAGUCAAAGUGUUAGCGGUGUAAGAUGGACUUGCGUCUGAUUAGCUAGUUGGUGAGAAAAAAGCCCACCAAGGCAACGAUCAGUAGCCGGCUUGAGAGAGUGUACGGACACAUUGGGACUGAGACACGGCCCAGACUCCUACGGGAGGCAGCAGUGGGGAAUUUUGCACAAUGGGGGAAACCCUGAUGCAGCGACGCCGCGUGAUUUAGAAGGCCUUCGGGUUGUAAAAAUCUUUUGUAUAGGAAGAAAAUGACAGUACUAUACGAAUAAGGUCCGGCUAAUUACGUG
This 477-nucleotide ribosomal RNA is filed under the name uncultured bacterium. RNAcentral's name for it is "partial 16S ribosomal RNA". It matches the Rfam family "Bacterial small subunit ribosomal RNA", at positions 28 to 507 of the family's 1533-position model. The record is from RNAcentral.